RNAcentral lists this ribosomal RNA (301 nucleotides) under uncultured bacterium. Its description in RNAcentral is "partial 16S ribosomal RNA". It matches the Rfam family "Bacterial small subunit ribosomal RNA", at positions 509 to 807 of the family's 1533-position model. The record is from RNAcentral.
CAGCCGCCGCGGGAAUACGUAGGGUGCGAGCGUUAAUCGGAAUUACUGGGCGUAAAGCGUGCGCAGGCGGUUCGUUAAGACAGAUGUGAAAUCCCCGGGCUUAACCUGGGAACUGCAUUUGUGACUGGCGAGCUAGAGUAUGGCAGAGGGGGGUAGAAUUCCACGUGUAGCAGUGAAAUGCGUAGAGAUGUGGAGGAAUACCGAUGGCGAAGGCAGCCCCCUGGGUCAAUACUGACGCUCAUGCACGAAAGCGUGGGGAGCAAACAGGAUUAGAUACCCCCGUAGUCCCUGUCUCUUAUAC